Molecule: ribosomal RNA, 2416 nt
Filed under: Triticum aestivum (bread wheat)
Lineage: Eukaryota; Viridiplantae; Streptophyta; Magnoliopsida; Poales; Poaceae
Description: partial small subunit ribosomal RNA
Source: RNAcentral
UUUGGAAUCCCACGGUCCUUUUCCUCACGGUUGUCAUUCUCCCGUAUCCCUAACCUCACGAAACCCACCAUCGAACUCAUCGCCUGCCAUGGAUUGCGCCGCCGCCCUGCUCCCUACUGCCGUCGUCGCUCCGUUUCCCAUCCGCCGCCGCCGUCCAUCGCGUCCAGCCUCUGUCGCAUCCCAUCGUCUCCACCUCCACCACGAACCAUCUCUCUCCUUGGUCGUCUCUCUUGGACCAGCACGCGGCGGCGGAUUCUUCCGAUGGCGUGUGGCGACGCGUCCGGUCGAGGGAACGGGGGUGAGGCAGACUGCGUCCCGUUCAUCGAUCUGUCCCCACCUCAUGUUCCUCCUCUCCAUUGAAUUUCACGUCCCCAGUUACUGCGACACAGGACGCUCUCCACUCUUUGACAACAAUGGUGCCCGUCCUGUUGUGCCUCUCCACACUUACCAUCGAGGCGGAAAAAUAUUUGGAGAAGAUCGCGCUCCCUGUAGAAAAUUCGGCCGUGUUCUAAGUGGCUACCCAGCAAGAUAAUUUUCUGCUCUGAAGUUCUCUCAUGGAACUUGGGUGGGAUUGGCGAACGUGCUAGGUGGAGUACGUGCCACUGGAUGGCCAUGUUAGUGGGCAGAAUCUCCUCUCCUUCAGACACAAACUUGGGUUUGGCAAGGAACUGGACCCGUGCCGGAUGUUCAUCAGCAACGCCAGUCAGGGGUUCAGGCUCCUGUGGAACUCAUGGCAUCAGUCGUAUGGACCUUCAUGUAUUUGAUAGUUUUCUCGAUCACUUUUAUGCCCUCAACUACAGCUAAGGCUACCCCACAAGUUCAUUGAGAUUUGUUUUUUAUAGGACUUGGAUUAAUAAUCUCCAACAAUAUGGUCAUUGCUUCUUAUAUAUACUUUCAGUUCUAAAUACAUUUCAGAUUUUUCUUUAUCCUGUACUACUAAACUAUGUGUGCUAAACCAAACAUGGCAUCUGCGUCUUUUUAUGCAUGCAUGUUUCAAGACAAUAUAUCUAAUAUGUAGUAUACAGAAAGGUACCUAAAUAUUAGCUUAUAUUGCCAACUCUUGAAAAUAUACGGUCCCUGUACAUUUUUUGCCGAGAACCUGGGGAGCUUGGGACGAAGUAUGGUGUCAAUAAUCAGUAUAUACCAGAACAAUAUUUCAACACCGAUGUCACUUGCCACAGUACUUCCUUCACUGCCAAUCUAGCCGCAAACUCUGUUUGUCCUCGAAUCUAGCUCCACAAAGGUUGUGCUUUGCCGUGCAUCUAAAAGUAAGGUUACUAUCAUAAUUAAUUAGUAGAGCUUCUUCUCUAUUCAAAUUGAAUUUGAUAAGCAACAAAGUCCUCUGUGUCAUGCUUCAAUUAUAUGGCUCGAGCCGGCCAAACCUGAAAUGUUCGGUGAAGAUUCAAAGUACAUCUAGAUUACUUUGUGUUGCCCACAAUCCUAUUACUUGAUUUUUUUUGAGCUAACUAUAUCUAUGGAUAAAUUUGCAAGAUGAUGCAAAAAAAUUGCUUGCAGGUAGGCUGUGUACAGAGAUGCAUGUUGUGAGUUCAUAACAAUUUUACAAUAUUGAGAUUUGUUUUAGAUGCUUCUAAGCAGUGCUAUAGCAGAACGGUGCUCCAUUUCCUUACUGUUGUUGCUAAAUAUUUGUUUUGUGGCAUAUUAGGACUGAACGGCAUCAUGCUAACAACCUCACCCUAGGAGUCCACUUCUUCACGGUCAUGGCAUCUGCCUCCACCAAUUAUCUAGAGUUAAGUUCCAGAGACAAUUGGGGAGGUCAACUUUGAGCUGCAGCACUCUAUGUGUUCACGCAAUCGGAACGCCCAAAAUAUCAUGCCAAUAUGUGAUUUAUGCCUUUUCUGUUAGGAUUAUCUCCCUUCUCCACGGAUAAAUUGCUUGAUGUGUUCAAUUGUCCGGUUUUCCCUAAAUGUUAAACACUAAAAAGGCCUGAGUGGAUUAUCUCCCUUCUCCACGGAUAAAUUGCUUGAUGUGUUCAAUGGUCCGGUUGAAUUGGAUACAAGCAUGCUACAAAUCAAAUAGUUAUUUGAUAAGGCAUUUGAUGAGCUCCUGUAAUUCUAAUCUACUUCCCACAUUUUACAGCUGAUGUUAUUUAGUAAUCUGUAGUGAGCCUAAGAAAUAGUACUAUGGGGAGAAGCAGGCAACACGUAAUAUGUGUGUCAUUUGAGAAAAAUGAAACUUCCAACUUUCCAACUGUUCAUUGCAUAUUACAUGUAAAAGACACUAUCUUAGACAAAUAGAUGAUUCACCAGGUUCAAUGAAAGUUAGCUUAAAUACCAUGUAUUUUUCUGCACAUGGAUUAUUGCCUAUUGUAGAUCAUCCUCUGUACAUUUGUUAGUCUAAUAGUCAAGCAGGACAAAAAAGUUCACUCCAGUAAUGCCUUUGCUCUACAAGAUCUGAC